RNAcentral lists this ribosomal RNA (387 nucleotides) under uncultured bacterium. RNAcentral's name for it is "bacterial SSU rRNA". It matches the Rfam family "Bacterial small subunit ribosomal RNA", at positions 28 to 416 of the family's 1533-position model. The record is from RNAcentral.
GAUGAGCGCUAGCGGUGUGCCUAAUGCAUGCAAGUCGAACGGGAUCCUUGGAUUCGUCUGAGGUGAGAGUGGCGGACGGGUGAGUAACACGUAGGUGACCUGCCCCGGAGAGGGGACGAACCACUGGAAACGGUGGCUAAUACCCCACGAUGUUAUUGCGCUUAGAAAGCAAUUACUAAAGCUCCGGCGCUCCGGGAGGGGCCUGCGGCCCAUCAGCUUGUUGGUAGGGUAAUGGCCUACCAAGGCAAAGACGGGUAGGGGCGUGAGAGCGUGACCCCCCACACUGGUACUGAGACACGGACCAGAUACCUGCGGGUAGCAGCAGCAAGGAAUAUUGCCCAAUGGACGAAAGUCUGAGGCAGCAACACCGCGUGGAGGAUGAAGGCC